UUGUGGAGGAGGACGCCGAAGGUGGGGCUAAUGACUGGGGUGAAGUCGUAACAAGGUAGCCGUACCGGAAGGUGCGGCUGGAUCACCUCCUAACAGGGAGACAACAAAAUGUUUAAUAUUAUUAUUUUGUCACCUUAGGUCGAUCGGUAUCUCACAUCCUUAAAUUAAUUAAGGAUUUUAUUUCCUAAGUUUUUCUAGGUCACACCCAUUAUUUUUCCUGGGCCAUUAGCUCAGGUGGUUAGAGCGCACCCCUGAUAAGGGUGAGGUCCCUGGUUCAAGUCCAGGAUGGCCCAUAUCUCUAUGUUGGGGGUAUAGCUCAGUUGGUAGAGCGCCUGCUUUGCAAGCAGGAUGUCAGCGGUUCGAGUCCGCUUACCUCCACUGAUUACCACCUCUUCCAUAAUUUUAAGGAAAUGUUUUGAGUUGUGAUCAAAUUCUGAGCGAAUCUAGCUUCCUAAUGAAAUCAUUAAGAUGCUGGACUCAUUGAAUUAAAUUCAUUGUUUUCAGAGAACCUUGACAACUGCAUAGAUUAUUUUUAAAGACAAUAAGCAUCUUUAAUGAUGCAGAUUUAUUAUUUGUGCGAAUGCAUUAAUAACAAUUCUAUUAAGCUGAUGCUUCAAUUUUUGAAGUUAUUGGUCAAGCUACAA
Molecule: unclassified non-coding RNA, 644 nt
Filed under: uncultured Prochlorococcus sp.
Lineage: Bacteria; Bacillati; Cyanobacteriota; Cyanophyceae; Synechococcales; Prochlorococcaceae
Description: partial 16S-23S ribosomal RNA intergenic spacer; may also contain 16S ribosomal RNA and 23S ribosomal RNA
Rfam family: tRNA (bases 306-378)
Source: RNAcentral